Molecule: ribosomal RNA, 354 nt
Filed under: uncultured bacterium
Lineage: Bacteria
Description: partial 16S ribosomal RNA
Rfam family: Bacterial small subunit ribosomal RNA
Source: RNAcentral
CCUACGGGGUGCAGCAGUGGGGCAUAUUGGACAAUGGGGGGAACCCUGAUCCAGCGACGCCGCGUGAGUGACGAAGUAUUUCGGUCUGUAAAGCUCUAUCAGCAGGGACGAAAGACAUGACGGUACCUGACUACGACGCCCCGGCUCACUCCGUGCCAGCAGCCGCGGUAAUACGUAGGGGGCAAGCGUUAUCCGGCUUUACUGUGGGGACAGGGGUCGUAGACGGCGAUGCAAGUCUGAAGUGAAAGGCGGGGGCACAACCCCCGGACUGCUUUGGAAACUGUAUGGCGGGAGUGCAGGAGAGGGAAGUGGAAGGCCUAGGGGAGCGGUGAAAUGCGGAGAUAUUAGGAGGAA